This 705-nucleotide long non-coding RNA is filed under the name Phoenix dactylifera (date palm). RNAcentral's name for it is "long non-coding RNA (PDAC_LNC017477)". The record is from RNAcentral. Lineage: Eukaryota; Viridiplantae; Streptophyta; Magnoliopsida; Arecales; Arecaceae.
UUCAAAUAGCUAGAAAACAUAUUUACGUUCCUUCAAAUAGCUAGAAAACAACAACAAACUAGAAAACAACAACAGCAACAACAACCCUUCUUAUAGGUAGCUAGAAAAGAACAAUAACAACCCUUCUUGUAGCUAGAAAACAUAGAAAACAUAUUUACAUACUUCAAAUAAGCUAAAAAAAAAAACAAACAACAACAACAAGAGAUUAAUUUAAAGUGCAUGAAGAACAGAAUCCAGCUGAAAUAAGUGGAUGUUAGUGACCACCUCUGCACUCAUAGAUCUUCUUACAGCCAGGAGUAUAUGGACGCCCGGACUUGGCCGGUGCAGCUUGCAUUCGGCUUGAUAACGCGCGUCUACCUAUGCCUCGUGGGUAAGGCAGGAGAAUCCUCCUCCUUGUCUCAGAAUCCAGAGCCCACUCCUCUUCUUCUACUGCAUGCCACUGCAUGCUGAACGAGGCAUUGGAAGCGUUGGCAGCUGCCGUCACAGCUCCAGCAGGGACAGCAGCAGCAACAGCGAGGAAGAGGGCCAACGCCACAACCCAGAAGCAAUUCCUCAGCCCAAAACCCAUUGCUUGCUUCUCUCGUCCAGCUCCAGCACUCCAUUUCCGCCUCUCAUGGCACGAAUGGCAAAUAUAAAAGCGACUGUCACCAACCACGUGACGAACUGCUAUAAUGCUAUGGUACGCUGCUUUUGGCCGGGCGUCUC